UACAGAGGUCUCAAGCGUUGUUCGGAAUCACUGGGCGUAAAGGGUGCGUAGGCCGCACGGUAAGUCAGAGGUGAAAUCCCGGAGCUCAACUUCGGAAUUGCCUCCGAUACUGCCGUGCUUGAGGACUGGAGAGGAGUCUGGAAUUCACAGUGGAGCAGUGAAAUGCGUAGAUAUUGUGAGGAACACUAGUGGCGAAGGCGAGACUCUGGACAGUUCCUGACGCUGAGGCACUAAGGCCAGGGGAGCAAACGGG
RNAcentral lists this ribosomal RNA (253 nucleotides) under uncultured bacterium. RNAcentral's name for it is "partial 16S ribosomal RNA". It matches the Rfam family "Bacterial small subunit ribosomal RNA", at positions 524 to 776 of the family's 1533-position model. The record is from RNAcentral.